RNAcentral lists this ribosomal RNA (464 nucleotides) under Rothia sp. oral taxon 188. Its description in RNAcentral is "bacterial SSU rRNA". It matches the Rfam family "Bacterial small subunit ribosomal RNA", at positions 28 to 502 of the family's 1533-position model. Lineage: Bacteria; Bacillati; Actinomycetota; Actinomycetes; Micrococcales; Micrococcaceae. The record is from RNAcentral.
GACGAACGCUGGCGGCGUGCUUAACACAUGCAAGUCGAACGAUGAAGCGGUGCUUGCACCGUGGAUUAGUGGCGAACGGGUGAGUAAUACGUGAGUGACCUACCUUUGACUCUGGGAUAAGCCUGGGAAACUGGGUCUAAUACCGGAUACGACCAAUCUCUGCAUGGGGUGUUGGUGGAAAGCGUUAUGGAGUGGUUUUAGAUGGGCUCACGGCCUAUCAGCUUGUCGGUGAGGUAAUGGCUUACCAAGGCGACGACGGGUAGCCGGCCUGAGAGGGUGACCGGCCACACUGGGACUGAGACACGGCCCAGACUCCUACGGGAGGCAGCAGUGGGGAAUAUUGCACAAUGGGCGCAAGCCUGAUGCAGCGACCCGCGUGAGGGAUGACGGCCUCCGGGUUGUAAACCUCUGUUAGCAUCGAAGAAGCGAAAGUGACGGUAGGUGCAGAGAAAGCGCCGCUAAUA